CCUACGGGAGGCAGCAGUAGGGAAUCUUCCGCAAUGGACGAAAGUCUGACGGAGCAACGCCGCGUGAGUGAUGAAGGCCUUCGGGUCGUAAAACUCUGUUGUCAGGGAAGAACAAGUAUCGGAGUAACUGCCGGUACCUUGACGGUACCUGACCAGAAAGCCACGGCUAACUACGUGCCAGCAGCCGCGGUAAU
RNAcentral lists this ribosomal RNA (194 nucleotides) under uncultured bacterium. RNAcentral's name for it is "partial 16S ribosomal RNA". It matches the Rfam family "Bacterial small subunit ribosomal RNA", at positions 338 to 524 of the family's 1533-position model. The record is from RNAcentral.